RNAcentral lists this long non-coding RNA (381 nucleotides) under Rattus norvegicus (Norway rat). RNAcentral's name for it is "long non-coding RNA NONRATT005507". Lineage: Eukaryota; Metazoa; Chordata; Mammalia; Rodentia; Muridae. The record is from RNAcentral.
GCGGCCGGCGCGCGCGCGUGCGUUGGGUGCUCCCGCGAAGCAGGCAGGAGUCGCCGCCCCGGCUGUGCGGGUUCCAGGGCGGCGGCCCCUACACAGCAGCGCCGUGGGCGCAACAAGCCGAGGCAGCCGCACCUGCGGGGAUGGCGCGGCCCCGGCUCUGCACCGCUGUCGGGCGCGCGGGUAGCUCCGGGUACGCCCUGUGACGGUGGCGGUGCCUUCGGCCGGGCAGCGCCCAAGUCGCUUGGCCAGAGCCCCGCGGCCGACGGCGGCCCGGGCCAUGAGGAGCGGCCGGGCCCAGGCCUCGCUGACCCCGGCUCCGCGCGGCGACCCGUCCCGUUUCCGCUCCGGCCUCUCGGCAUGAGUGUCCGUCCGGGCCCGGGG